CCUACGGGCGGCAGCAGUGGGGAAUAUUGGACAAUGGGGGCAACCCUGAUCCAGCCAUGCCGCGUGUGUGAAGAAGGCCCUCGGGUUGUAAAGCACUUUCAGUGAGGAAGAACGCCUGGUGGUUAAUACCCAUCAGGAAAGACAUCACUCACAGAAGAAGCACCGGCUAACUCCGUGCCAGCAGCCGCGGUAAUACGGAGGGUGCGAGCGUUAAUCGGAAUUACUGGGCGUAAAGCGCGCGUAGGUGGCUUGAUAAGCCGGUUGUGAAAGCCCCGGGCUCAACCUGGGAACGGCAUCCGGAACUGUCAAGCUAGAGUGCAGGAGAGGAAGGUAGAAUUCCCGGUGUAGCGGUGAAAUGCGUAGAGAUCGGGAGGAAUACCAGUGGCGAAGGCGGCCUUCUGGACUGACACUGACACUGAGGUGCGAAAGCGUGAGUAGCAAACAGGAUUAGAUACCCGUGUAGUC
This 465-nucleotide ribosomal RNA is filed under the name Vreelandella stevensii. Its description in RNAcentral is "partial 16S ribosomal RNA". It matches the Rfam family "Bacterial small subunit ribosomal RNA", at positions 338 to 795 of the family's 1533-position model. The record is from RNAcentral. Lineage: Bacteria; Pseudomonadati; Pseudomonadota; Gammaproteobacteria; Oceanospirillales; Halomonadaceae.